GUCGUAACAAGGUAGCCGUAGGGGAACCUGCGGUUGGAUCACCUCCUUACCUGAAGAUACUUUCCCGCGAAGUGCUCACACAGAUUGUCUGAUAGAAAAGUAAUGAGCAAGACGGCUGCGAAGUCGUGACACCUUUGUGUCCCCUUCGUCUAGCGGUUAGGACUCCGCCCUUUCACGGCGGCAACAGGGGUUCGAAUCCCCUAGGGGACGCCACUUGCUUGGUGACAGGUGAAAGGUGUCUCCACGAAGUAUCUCAAAACCGAUUCAGUUGCGUGAGCAGCCGAGCCGCGUUUGAGAUAUUUGCUCUUUAACAAUCCGGAACAAGCUGAAAAUUGAAACGACGCAGCGCGUUAUUCCUCCGUAAUAAGGAAUAACAAGGCGAUGCGUUCGAGUCUCUCAAAUGCUUGCAGCACGCAGCGUUGAAAAACGCCUGUGGGUUGUGAGGUUAAGCGACUAAGCGUACACGGUGGAUGCCUUGGC
This 480-nucleotide unclassified non-coding RNA is filed under the name uncultured bacterium. RNAcentral's name for it is "partial contains 16S ribosomal RNA, 16S-23S ribosomal RNA intergenic spacer, and 23S ribosomal RNA". The stretch from base 306 to 436 matches the Rfam family "Salmonella enterica Typhi npcRNA 44". The record is from RNAcentral.